GCGGGGUGAGGAAGGGAGAGGGUGGGCCUCCCCGGAGGCGGUCGGCGCUUGCCUAGCUGCCGGGAGGAGGGUUCUGAGCUCCCGAGGUGUGUUGCGCGUUUUCCGAGGCCCGGGCUGCUAGCCGUAAGCGGGUCCCGGGAGCCUCGCGUGUCGUGGGACCCGGGCUGUGGGCGCGCGCGCGCGCGCGCGGGCGGCGUCCUGACUCCGCCGCCACCUCCGGCCUCAGGUAUUUCCUUCGUUUCCCGAGGGCGGCUGAGCUGUGUCCGGGCUAGGGCCCUUCUGAGCUCUGGCCCUGCUGAAGAAGAGCGGUCAGGCACAAACAGCGUCACCGAAAGUUCAGCUUGGUACUUGUUCUGGAGGCCGGAGCAAAAAGAAGAAUCAAGAAGUUUUGCAGAAGAAGGAAAGGGCAGUUUAUCGCUUUGCGGGCAAAGGUGGAAAAAUGGCAGACUGUCCGUCUCAAAAUGCCCAUCUUUCCUGGACAGACAGAGUCUCGCUUUGUCGCCCUGGGUAGAGUGCCGUGGCGUCACAUCUCACAGCAAACUCCAGCUCUUGGGCUUAGGCGAUUCUCUUGCCUCAGCCUCCCGAGUUGGCUGGGACUACAGGCAGCACGAGGACAAGGGUGUCACCAGUAUUAGCACCUGGUGGUCUGUAUCAGCACUGGCCCCAGCACCAGCAGUUGGCGGCCACAGUAAGGAGGCACUUCCUGAAAUGGAGCAAAAAACCAGCUUACAGGUGGAGGAGAAAGGUCCAGACCCAGUAAAGCCAUGGCUCCAAGUGCAGUGGCCUCUGAAAGCUGACCACCCAAGGCACUACAACAAGCUGAUCAAGAUUCAGAGGUGGUCACCACCAAGGCUCUGCUGCACUCACUGUGCCCCACAUGGGAGCAACCUGGCAACAAAGACUGCGGGGGAGACAUGGAUUAGCCCAGCAUGGGCAGGAAGCAGCAUCCCAUCAAAUCAGGAAGAAAAGCACAUUAUUAAAGCCAGUGCUGGCUGGGCGGUGCCUGUGGCUCAGUGAGUAGGGCGCAGGUCCCAUAUAGUGAGGGUGGAGGGUUCGAACCUGGCCCCAGACAAACUGCAACAAAAAAUAGCCGGGCGUUGUGGCAGGCGCCUGUAGUCCCAGCUACUCGGGAGGCUGAGGCAAGAAAACGGCUAAGCCCGAGAGCUGGAGGUUGCUAUGAGCUGUAAUGCCAUGGCACUCUAUCAAGGGUGACAAAGUGAGACUGUGUCUCUAAAAAACAAACAGGGUGGCGCCUGUGGCUCAACAGAGUAAGGCGCUGGCCCCAUAUGCUGGAGGUGGCGGGUUCAAACCCAGCCCUGGCCAAAAACUGCAAAAAACAAACAAACAAACAAAAAACAGUGCUGGCUAGCACCUAUAUCUCAGCGGCUAGCGUGCCAGCCACAUACACCAGAGCUGGCAGGUUUGAAUCCAGCCCUGGCCUGGCAAACAACAAUGACAACAACAAAUAGCUGUGUUUUAUGGUGGGCACCUGUAGUCCCAGGUACUUGGGAGGCAGAGGCAAGAGAAUCGCCUAAGCCCAAGAGUUUGAGAUUGCUGAGAGUUAUGACACCACAGCACUCUACCGAGGGCGACACAGCCCACCAGAAUCCUCAGGCCAGCAGUGGAGUUUCCCACUCCCUGUGGCCAACAUAAAAGCUGUCUCAAAUUGUGCUCAGUGCAGAUGCUGUCUUUAGCUCUGCCCAAGUGGGUUUCUUUUGUUUUCAUUGAACCUGGCAUAAACCUCUC
Molecule: long non-coding RNA, 1746 nt
Organism: Nycticebus coucang (slow loris)
Lineage: Eukaryota; Metazoa; Chordata; Mammalia; Primates; Lorisidae
Exons: 3
Source: RefSeq, a predicted model, not a curated record